This 463-nucleotide ribosomal RNA is filed under the name uncultured bacterium. RNAcentral describes it as "partial 16S ribosomal RNA". It matches the Rfam family "Bacterial small subunit ribosomal RNA", at positions 30 to 507 of the family's 1533-position model. The record is from RNAcentral.
CGAACGCUGGCGGCGUGCUUAACACAUGCAAGUCGUACGGUAAGGCCCUUUCGGGGGUACACGAGUGGCGAACGGGUGAGUAACACGUGAGUAACCUGCCCACAACUUUGGGAUAACGCUAGGAAACUGGUGCUAAUACUGGAUAUGUGCUCCUGCUGCAUGGUGGGGGUUGGAAAGCUCCGGCGGUUGUGGAUGGACUCGCGGCCUAUCAGCUUGUUGGUGGGGUAGUGGCCUACCAAGGCGGCGACGGGUAGCCGGCCUGAGAGGGUGACCGGCCACAUUGGGACUGAGAUACGGCCCAGACUCCUACGGGAGGCAGCGGUGGGGAAUAUUGCACAAUGGGCGCAAGCCUGAUGCAGCAACGCCGCGUGCGGGAUGACGGCCUUCGGGUUGUAAACCGCUUUCAGCAGGGACGAAGCUUUUUGUGACGGUACCUGCAGAAGAAGCACCGGCUAACUACGUG